CUUGGUCAUUUAGAGGAAGUAAAAGUCGUAACAAGGUCUCCGUAGGUGAACCUGCGGAGGGAUCAUUACAGAGUUCGUGCCCUUACGGGUAGAUCUCCCACCCUGUGUUAUUAUACCUUUGUUGCUUUGGCGGGCCGCCCUCGGCUACCGGCCCCGGCUGGUACGCGCCCGCCAGAGGACCCCAAACUCUGAAUGUUAGUGUCGUCUGAGUACUAUACAAUAGUUACAACUUUCAACAACGGAUCUCUUGGUUCUGGCAUCGAUGAAGAACGCAGCGAAAUGCGAUAAGUAAUGUGAAUUGCAGAAUUCAGUGAAUCAUCGAAUCUUUGAACGCACAUUGCGCCCCUUGGUAUUCCAUGGGGCAUGCCUGUUCGAGCGUCAUUUGUACCUUCAAGCUCUGCUUGGUGCUGGGUGUUUUGUCUCGCCUCUGCGUGUAGACUCGCCUUAAAACAAUUGGCAGCCGGCGUAUUGAUUUCGGAGCGCAGUACAUCUCGCGCUUUGCACUCAUAACGGCGACGUCCAAAAGUACAUUUUUACACUCUUGACCUCGGAUCAGGUAGGGAUACCCGCUGAACUUAAGCAUAUCAAUAAGCGGAGG
This 598-nucleotide ribosomal RNA is filed under the name uncultured fungus. RNAcentral describes it as "eukaryotic LSU rRNA". The stretch from base 228 to 381 matches the Rfam family "5.8S ribosomal RNA". The record is from RNAcentral. Lineage: Eukaryota; Fungi.